This 73-nucleotide transfer RNA is filed under the name Lampris guttatus (North Atlantic opah). RNAcentral's name for it is "tRNA-Asn". It matches the Rfam family "tRNA". Rfam says of the family: Transfer RNA (tRNA) molecules are approximately 80 nucleotides in length. Their secondary structure includes four short double-helical elements and three loops (D, anti-codon, and T loops). Further hydrogen bonds mediate the characteristic L-shaped molecular structure. tRNAs have two regions of fundamental functional importance: the anti-codon, which is responsible for specific mRNA codon recognition, and the 3' end, to which the tRNAs corresponding amino acid is attached (by aminoacyl-tRNA synthetases). tRNAs cope with the degeneracy of the genetic code in two manners: having more than one tRNA (with a specific anti-codon) for a particular amino acid; and 'wobble' base-pairing, i.e. permitting non-standard base-pairing at the 3rd anti-codon position. The record is from RNAcentral. Lineage: Eukaryota; Metazoa; Chordata; Actinopteri; Lampriformes; Lampridae.
UAGAUGGAAGUUUGUUGGUUUGAACGCUUAGCUGUUAACUAAGAGUUUGGGGGAUCGAGGCCCCCUCAUCUAG